This 515-nucleotide ribosomal RNA is filed under the name uncultured bacterium. Its description in RNAcentral is "partial 16S ribosomal RNA". It matches the Rfam family "Bacterial small subunit ribosomal RNA", at positions 28 to 523 of the family's 1533-position model. The record is from RNAcentral.
GACGAACGCUGGCGGCGUGCCUAAUAUAUGCAAGUCGAGCGGACUUUCAAGAAGCUUGCUUUUUGAAAGUUAGCGGCGGACGGGUGAGUAACACGUGGGCAACCUGCCUGUAAGACGGGGAUAACUCCGGGAAACCGGGGCUAAUACCGGAUAAUAUCUUUCUUCGCAUGAAGGAAGGUUGAAAGGCGGCGCAAGCUGCCGCUUGCAGAUGGGCCCGCGGCGCAUUAGCUAGUUGGUGAGGUAACGGCUCACCAAGGCGACGAUGCGUAGCCGACCUGAGAGGGUGAUCGGCCACACUGGGGCUGAGACACGGCCCAGACUCCUACGGGAGGCAGCAGUAGGGAAUCUUCCGCAAUGGACGAAAGUCUGACGGAGCAACGCCGCGUGAGCGAAGAAGGUCUUCGGAUCGUAAAGCUCUGUUGUCAGGGAAGAACAAGUACCGUUCGAAUAGGGCGGUACCUUGACGGUACCUGACCAGAAAGCCACGGCUAACUACGUGCCAGCAGCCGCGGUAA